RNAcentral lists this unclassified non-coding RNA (183 nucleotides) under Rhizophagus sp. (in: glomeromycetes). Its description in RNAcentral is "Rhizophagus sp. (in: Fungi) partial internal transcribed spacer region". The stretch from base 1 to 46 matches the Rfam family "Eukaryotic small subunit ribosomal RNA", at positions 1786 to 1831 of the family's 1831-position model. Lineage: Eukaryota; Fungi; Glomeromycota; Glomeromycetes; Glomerales; Glomeraceae. The record is from RNAcentral. RNAcentral also lists the same sequence under 1 other name.
AAGUCGUAACAAGGUUUCCGUAGGUGAACCUGCGGAAGGAUCAUUACCGAUUUUUAGCGGACCUGGUCUUUGAUCAUGGUCUCGCGAAAACUUGUAUUUAAAACCCCACUCUUAUAAAUUGAAUCAUUUUAUUAUAUGUAUAAUAAAUAAAGAUCACUUUCAACAACGGAUCUCUUGGCUCUC